AAGGAGGAGGAGGAGGAGCAUGUGUCUGUCAUGCUCCUUUGCGGUUCCCACAUCCUGUGCUGGGAAUUGUGGGAACCGCAGGGAGCAUGAUAGACACAUGCUCCUCCUCCUCCUUC
RNAcentral lists this microRNA precursor (116 nucleotides) under Pelobates cultripes (western spadefoot toad). Lineage: Eukaryota; Metazoa; Chordata; Amphibia; Anura; Pelobatidae. The record is from RNAcentral.